CCAAUAGCGUAUAUUAAAGUUGUUGCAGUUAAAAAGCUCGUAGCUGAACUUCGGGGUUUACCCAUUGGUCAGGCUUAAUUGUCUGUACUGGUGAGAUGAAUCUCUACCUUCUGAGGAACUUUCAUGCCAUUUAUUUGGUGUGAUGGGAAAUCAGGGCUGUUACUUUGAAAAAAUUAGAGUGUUUAAAGCAGGCUAACGUCUGAAUACAUUAGCAUGGAAUAAUGAAAUAGGACGGAUUGAUUCUAUUUCGUUGGUUUCUAGGAUCACCGUAAUGAUUAAUAGGGAUAGUUGGGGGCAUUAGUAUUCAAUUGUCAGAGGUGAAAUUCUUGGAUUUAUUGAAGACUAACUACUGCGAAAGCAUUUGCCAAGGAUGUUUUCAUUAAUCAAGAACGAAAGUUAGGGGAUCGAAGACGAUCAGAUACCGUCGUAGUCUUAACCAUAAACUAUGCCGACUAGGGAUCGGACGAAGUUAAUUUUAUAAUGACGCGUUCGGCACCUUACG
Molecule: ribosomal RNA, 502 nt
Filed under: uncultured Glomeromycotina
Lineage: Eukaryota; Fungi; Glomeromycota
Description: partial small subunit ribosomal RNA
Rfam family: Eukaryotic small subunit ribosomal RNA
Source: RNAcentral